Molecule: RNA transcript, 3472 nt
Organism: Cryptomeria japonica (Japanese cedar)
Lineage: Eukaryota; Viridiplantae; Streptophyta; Pinopsida; Cupressales; Cupressaceae
Gene name: transcription factor GTE4
Exons: 6
Source: RefSeq, a predicted model, not a curated record
GGCAACCGCUUAAACCGUUCCCAAAGGUAACCGAAGUAGAAAAAGCACAGAGAGUUAAAGUUCCCGUUCUGUGAGCACUUGAGAAAUUAAAGUUACUGUUCUGGUGCCCCAACAACGAUUCAGCAGAUAAGCUUUUGUCAUCAGAAACAUGUGGCAACAAUCUAAACCUUCGUCAGUGCAAACAACACCAGAGAACCGUCCGAUUUGGAAAAAGAAAGAAAAAGCCUAGGUCAACAGCGAAUAUCCUGCUUCCUCUUCUCGCUUAUUUAUAAUAUAUGCAUGGAUGGAUAUCACAAAUCAUCAGGCCCUCGGCCCACAAUCCAUGUUUUGCAGAGAUUCACCGGUCGAAGGUACGAAUCCCCUCCCUUAAAUCUUAAAACUUAACAAGUUCCAUAUAGUGAGAUCGUCUCAUAAAUGCUUCGUCGUUGCAGCAAUCCGUUUAGUCAACUCUUUCUUGUUUUCCGUUUUCCCUUUCUUGUUGGAUAUUUUGUGGGUUACGCCUGGAACACAUGAAAUGAAAUGAUGGUGGUUCUUAACGGCCUUCUGGAAGUUUUAGUAGGAUAAGGAACCCUAGAACACUGUGAAGCGAAAGAAGAGAGCACUCCUGGCUAGUCUCUUUUCAGGGAGGCGCUUGGUGACAUUAGUUUUAGUGUACGGCAAUGGUCGGGCAUGAAGAGUCUCGCGAUAAGCAUAGAUGGGGAGAAAGCAAAUUGGUAUACAUGAGAAAAGGGCACGGCAAGGGGGCUAAAGCAAAUCCUGGGUUUGAUACAGCUAAUAAUAUAACAGCAGGGCAAGCGACAAGGGAGGGCGAUAACAUGACGGAUGUGAAUGGAAGAGGAGGAGAAGGAGCAGGAGCAGGAGCAGGAACAACAACAGGAGCAAGAGUAGCAGCACCAGCAGCAUCAGCAUCAGAUGGUUCUUCGAGCUUGAGCGGGAAGAAUGACGAUGCCCCCAAGGAAACCAUGCCUGAGCAUGGCGUUGGGGGGUUGCGGAACAGGGACAUAGAAGCUGCCCAUGUCACUAUUAAGUUGGAUGGGUACUCAAAGCAAGAGAUAAGGGAACUUCGCAGAAAGUUGACAAACGAAUUGGAGCAGGUGAGGGGUACGUUUAAGAAAGUUGAAGCAAGAGAAUUGCAACUGAGGGGGUGCCUGCCGGGAGGGAAUACUAGCUACAGUGCCUCCCAGUUCUCUGGCAAUGAUGGGAGGAACAAUGGCGGGAAGGAGGUUACGUCCGAAGUAGCUUCUGGUGGGGCAAUUACGCCCAAGCAGAGUGCAAGAGAGUCGAGGCCAGCGCGACAGUUGAGUAUAUCUCUUUUUGAACACAACCCAGCCACAAGUGAUGUGGCAGACAAAGGAAAGCGCACUCCAAAGGCUAAUCAGUAUUACCGCAAUUCAGAUUUUGUUUUAGGAAAAGAUAAAUUCCCACCUGCAGAGAAUAAGAAAUCUAAAUCUGGUGGCAGUAAGAAAACUGUACCAUCCAAACUAUAUGAUAUGUCGUCUCAGAAGUUUCCAAAUGAGGUGUUCAAGCAGUGCAGCUCGCUACUUUCAAAGUUGAUGAAGCACAAGCACGGUUGGGUGUUCAAUUCCCCUGUUGAUGCAGAGGCUCUUGGACUUCAUGAUUAUCACACCAUAAUAAAAAAUCCAAUGGACCUCGGAACUGUGAAAUCCAGACUGGAUAAAAACAUGUACAAUUCACCCACAUCUUUUGCACAAGACAUAAGAUUGACAUUCUCUAAUGCCAUGACUUAUAACCCUGAAGGGCAUGAUGUGCAUAACUUGGCUAAGCAGUUGCUGCAGUUAUUUGAGGAGCGAUGGAAUCUUAUAUACACAGAGCACAUUGAAAGCAAGAUGAACUCGAGAUAUGGAAGUGCGCAGACACCUGGGGCAAGUUGUAGUGUGAAGAAACUUCCUUUAGCAGACAUAAAAAAGAACUUUAAGAAACCUGAAACAGCGGGAGGGCCAUCCCUUUCAAAGAUAAGAUCAAUAAAUCAUUCUGCAAGCAGAACUCCAACCGGCAAAAAACCCAAGGCCAAAGAUCCCCAUAAACGUGCUAUGACUUUUGAAGAAAAGCAAAAGCUAAGUGCAAACCUUCAAAAUUUGCCCGCAGAUAGAUUGGAGCUUAUAGUUCAGAUUAUAAAGAAGAGGAAUCCAUCUCUAUGUCAACAAGACGAAGAGAUAGAGGUUGACAUAGACACUUUUGACACUGAAACGCUUUGGGAACUUGAUAGAUUUGUAACAAACUUCAAGAAAAGCCUCAGCAAACUUAAGAAAAAAGAACAACUUGCUCAGCAGGCUAAAAGUAUCAAUGAACUGGUCAGAGACAAGUGUCCCACCACCGUGUCUGAGCUGCCAAAGAAAAAUAAGAACGGAGAGCAAGGGCAACAAGAGUUUGAAACAGGAGACAAUAUUCUGCCAUCAAAUUGCCCUCUUGUUAAGAUGGAGAAGAAUGGUGGCUCUGCAAGUAGGUCGAGCAGCUCGAGCAGCUCGAGCAGUGAUUCUGGUUCUUCUUCUAGUGACUCCGAUACUGGGAGUUCCUCUGGAAGCGAGUCUAAUGCCUAUGCUGCACAUUCACCUAUUUUGGGGUCAAAUGCAAUGUCGGGGCCGAUAUAGACAAUAUUGUGUCAGAAGCUUAAUGGAGAUAAAGGAGCUCAAGGGAUCUCUUGUACAGAGAUGAUUCUUGGUGAGGGAUCGAGGAUGCCUAAAUUUUGGUACAAACCCAGUGAGGUGUCUUCGCGCUUGAUAUGGAGUUGAAGAUUUUUUUGGGUUUUAUGUCACCAGGAUCCAUUGUGUCACAGGAUUCGAUUUAGGCAUACCAUUAAGUGUGAUCACUUUGGACUGGUAUAGAUUUAAGGAGGAAGAAGAAAUAUAUAAUUCUAUCAAGACUCAUCAGGUAACAAAGUCGUGGAUGUCUUUGUCACCUUUAGGAGAUGAUCACAAAAUCACCUGUACAUUUUUAAAAGACAUCCAUAUGGGUUGAAAGAAAGACAAUUGCUGCAAUUAAGGCCGGCCAUCACCUUAAAAGCAAUUUCUCUCCACAGGUGUUCUUUGUCUAUCAUGGCUACAGGAUAAGAAGUGCUCAAUGUUCUACACUCCAGCCUUUCACAUGGCAUUGAUAAGCAAGAAGAGGUUGAGAACUUCGUGACCUCCUUUGUUCUGUUCAUACUGAAUGAACAGAUUUAAGCCAUGUUCUGUACUAUUAAUUGUUGAUUGAAUGGAUGUAUUAUAUGAUCUCUUUUUUAGUUCUGAUGCCCUGAAUUUGUUAGAAAAAAUUGAGUUGUAAAAUUAAAUUUGAAUUGUUGUCAAAUGCUAUUUCCUUGAAGUCGGAGUGAUUCCUAGCUUGUCAUUACAGGUGUAAGAUCAGCUGCUAUCCAAUCUGUAGUUCAGUUCAAAUAAGCAUACUGUUGACAGCCAGUUAUCUUUUUAACAACUUUAGAGAAGGCUUUGAUAAUUACGAUCCUUUGGUAUUAUGGAUA